Long non-coding RNA from Anopheles stephensi (Asian malaria mosquito), 657 nucleotides. RefSeq lists it as uncharacterized. NCBI's taxonomy places the organism in Eukaryota, Metazoa, Arthropoda, Insecta, Diptera, Culicidae. The transcript is spliced from 2 exons. The record is from RefSeq and is a predicted model, not a curated record.
CACAUACUCGAGCGUCGUACAAAGGGCACGUGGUUCAUUAUGGGAGCAGUAGGUUAUGAGUCGCUGCGAUUGAUUACCAUGGAAAACUUUAGCCACGUGAAGUUCACGGAGGACGCCUUUGCAGAAAUUUGAUAAACUGUUCGCGGUCUAUAGUCUAUUGGUGGGCGAAUAUUUUAAGAGCAAAUGUCAGCUGAAGAUACUGCUUUGCGAUAGCGCUGACGUUACAGAAAUUGGAUUAGGUUUCUUCUUUUCUCCCUUUUUUUUACAAGGCUCCAUCCAAAACUUUUCCCUUGCGUGAAGUUUAAACAACCAUCGGAGGCAAAAACUUACGGAAGUAAAAUAAAAACCGCUCGCCCUGCACGAACGUCCGCCGGGAAAAGCUGAAACUCCGCAACUCACCAGCUCCUGUGUGUCAUGCAGAGCAACUUUUCCGGCCAAACAACAAACGGGCGGCGAGCCUCGGCGAUAGGGCAAACCUAUUGAUGUAAUGACUCAAGCCUCGGUUUUAACUCGGGAGGAUCAAUUUACAUUCUGUCUAAAGAAUAGGCGUACCUCAUGUUCCAGAGCCCCGGAUGCCCACGGCGACCUGUGCCGGUAAGGCACACGUUCUACGGCCUAAAAAUUGUACCAAAAGUUUAAUGCGAAAGUUUGGCAUAA